Long non-coding RNA from Anser brachyrhynchus (Pink-footed goose), 1883 nucleotides. NCBI's taxonomy places the organism in Eukaryota, Metazoa, Chordata, Aves, Anseriformes, Anatidae. The record is from Ensembl.
GCAGCUUGCAAGUUGAAUUUAGAGCAAGUUGUUUAUGAAGUCAGCUGAUUUCAGGCCCCAGUAUUGUGUGUUACUAAUAAAUAAAAAAAUUAAUUGCAGUUUAAAAAAAUUAAUUGCAGUUUAAAUACAAUGAUUGGGGGAAAAUAGCUUUAUUGGACUUAAAAAUGUGUGAUUAAGAAAACGCUUUAAUAAACAGUAAUGGGUGGCAUCUUUUCUUCUAGCUUGAUCAGGAAUUUGAGAUUUUCCACGCAGAGAAAUAUGGAACCUGCUAACAUUUUCUUGAUCUCCUGGGGUGGAUUAUGCAUUCUAAAGGGGAAGGAGAAGAGGGAGAGCAAGAACUGCCUCAGGAACAUGUGCCCUCUAAACUCUCCACAUCUUUGCACCUAUACUGCAUCAUCAGCAAUGGUUGGUGUGAGAAUGCCGUUUGCUCAGCAAAUUGCUUGUGGCUGGGAUUCUGACUGUGAAGAAGCAAUGGUGAGACAUUACUACUUUGGUUUAAUGUAGAGGUGAAGCCAUGUGUGUGCUUUUGUGUGACUUCAUAGAGAUGUCACCCUGGAAUCAACAGCUUUCUCACUCGCUGCUGUUCCUUUCCCUGUUUUCAGGACUCAUGCUGCUGUUUCUUAUUUGUUUGAGAAGCAUUAGCAAAAGCUAAUGUACCACUCUCACAAGAGACCAAAAAACUCUGGAAGAGUUAUUGUUGCCUGCUGCUGGCUUUGGCAAAUCCCUUACUGCAAUAUUUGUUUUUGAUGGAGGAUGUUGCUCUUCUGUCAUCUCUCACAGAGUAACUACCAGGAUGUUUUCCCUUUAGCACUUUCCGUGUAGCUGACCCCUACAGCCAGCCAUGGUCCUGGACCUGACCUCACCUCAGGGCAGAGAUCAGAGCAGUUAAUGUCAGGAAAGGAAAUACUCCUUGGGAGCUGCUCACUAGGAAGCUUGGGACACUUGCACUCUGCAUGCAUGUCACUUAAAUUGACAGAACAUGCAAGCAGCCAGAAAUGCACUGAGAAAGCACCAAGGAGUAAGGGUUACGAGCACUUGGGGUUGGUAAGUAAAGCUUGCUUGCUCCAAUACUACCAAAAUUUUUAAAUAGAAAGGGGAAAGCAAUUGUCUGUGAAUUGCCUUAAAAGUGGUAUCACCUCUGAUAUUGAGAUCCAGGCCUAAUAUUCUGUUUCAGUUUCCUUCCCUGUGCUCCGAGAUUAGAUAUUGAAUGUAUUUGGGGAAUACCUUGCUAUGUCCGUAGAUACCUUUGGAUAAAAGCUUGUCAUUUAAAUGUAUUCUCUACUAUAGCUUAAAGAAAGAUUUAUGGAAGAACCUCCCAUAGCUGCCAAUGUGGUGUUUUGUAGUAAAGGCAUGUUGCAACUACGCUAUCGUGUUGAGUAAUGAUACUAUCUAAUACUAUCUAAAUACUAUCUAAUACUAUCUAAUACUAUCUAAAUUGAGUAAUGAUACUCUCUAAUGAUACUAAAUAAUUCAGCAAGACCCUUUUCCUGCUACUGCUCCAUUCACCUGACCCUGUUUUUCUUCAUCUGUGUUUCUGCUUUAUUCUAUGUUUACAUUUGCCAUUUAUGCAUUAAAUACAUUACAGAACAAACCUAAUCUAUCAUUUAAUAGACCUACACUUUAUAAAGAAUAGAUAUUUUCUGCCUUUCUAGAUUCUCUCAGGCAUAGAAAUCUGUGCCUUGUUUUGAGUUAGCUUUUGUUCACAUAACAGAACACUUUGGCUAAGCUUUCUGAAGCCUAUAGAUCUCACUAAAAUAAUGUACAUUUCUUGAUCUGAUUAGGCCUUCAGCACACAAGAUAGUCGCUACAGAAUUAAUGGGAAAGAAGUUUGCUUAUUGAGCAGUGAGAAUAAAAAUAAAUAUUAUUCCUUUCUCUAGUUUACA